UUUUUGCAUUGGCAGCUAAAAGGAAGGGGUUCGAGGUGUUGGUUUUUGAGAAGGAUACGAGUGCAAUAAGAGGAGAAGGACAAUAUAGAGGUCCGAUUCAGAUACAGAGCAAUGCAUUAGCUGCUUUGGAGGCUAUUGAUUUAGAGGUUGCUGAAGAGGUUAUGAAAGCUGGGUGUAUCACUGGUGAUAGGAUUAAUGGGCUUGUUGAUGGGGUUUCUGGUACUUGGUACGUCAAGUUUGAUACCUUCACUCCUGCG
RNAcentral lists this unclassified non-coding RNA (257 nucleotides) under Hevea brasiliensis (rubber tree). The record is from RNAcentral. Lineage: Eukaryota; Viridiplantae; Streptophyta; Magnoliopsida; Malpighiales; Euphorbiaceae.